AGGGUCGGAUUAAAAAUAAAACCAAAAAGUGCUGUAAUAAAUGCUUUACGUUAAUAUGAAUGUUAAUAUGUAUUGACGGGCCCCGGCACCGACUUGGGGUUGCAUUAAAAGCACUGUCAGCGUCAAGUUGUAAAGCUUGAUCAGAAUUACUUGCAUAGUAUUAAAAAAUGUACUGCGGUGACAAUGUUCCGUUGUUGAAAAAAACUUUGAUAACAAGAAAAAAUAAAGACGGAAGUAUAGAUGAUGGUCAUUGUCGCUUUACAUGCUGCAGUUUGAUGUGAUGCUAUGACUAGUCUGUGAGACUUGAUCUCCAGGACACUAAAAGAAAUUUUAAAUAAUUUCAAUCCAUACUAGCGACCUC
Molecule: unclassified non-coding RNA, 361 nt
Filed under: Entomobrya corticalis
Lineage: Eukaryota; Metazoa; Arthropoda; Collembola; Entomobryomorpha; Entomobryidae
Description: sequence contains 5.8S rRNA gene and ITS2
Source: RNAcentral